Molecule: long non-coding RNA, 1773 nt
Organism: Mytilus californianus (California mussel)
Lineage: Eukaryota; Metazoa; Mollusca; Bivalvia; Mytilida; Mytilidae
Exons: 3
Source: RefSeq, a predicted model, not a curated record
UUUCAACAUUAUAUUUGAAAUUAUAGGGUAAAUUGCCAAAUGAUCUAAGUACAAUUAUGUCAUCUUUCAUGUACACCCCCAUUCUGAUAAUUUCGACCAGGAAGUUACUAUUAAUAACUUAUCUAAAUUCCGCGAAAACGAAACAAGUUCUCGCGGAAAUAGUAUGACCUAAGACGCUUUUGAGAUAAAUAUGAAAGCAAGAGAUAUGAUCCUCUGAACUUCUUACGUUCCGGCAGUAUAGCCUUCCUAAAGUGUGGUGUCCGUUUAGCUGUGUGGGAUGUUUAAAUACAAAGUCACGACCGGGCGGAAUGGGGACGUUUCCGAAGUCUAGUGUAGGAUUGAUAAACAACCCCAGAAGAUAUAAAUGUUACAGGACGGACACAAUAUGCAUGUACAAACUGAUGAACGAAAUUGCAGUUUGAUAUUAUUUUCAUCCAUAUUGAAAACAGAUUCUCAACAGAGAAAAUUUCAAGAAUAUUGCAGAAAAAUACCUUUUAUUCAUAUAACUUAUAUUUGUAUAUCGUAUUGAUUAUUUUGGUUGAUGUGUGACCCAAUUGCACUGUCAACUUGAUCAACGUUUUCAUUUUAUUCUUUUGUAAUAGCAGAUGCCAUAGAUUGAUUGAUUGUUGUUUGCUUAACGUCCAGUGGGGCAUAACAGCAUACACGUAUGAUAUAGACCUUAUCAUUCUGAAAAAUGGUAUUCCAUUAGAAUAAAUUAAGGAUCGUUUCAGAAUCUUCAAUAACAUAUUCAUGUAUACUUGACAUGUGAUAUUUACACUUAUUCAUUUUUCAAAAACCGCAAAUAUGUGAUACUUUCAAGUUAUCUAUAUUGCCUUAUGGUAUAAUCAAACUAGUGCUUCAUUGACGUUUAUAAUUAAUUGACAUCAUCAUUCGAUACUGCAUGCAUCAAUUUACCAAAACUUGUAUUAUGAACAAGGACUAACAUGACCGGAUAGAACUUACAUUUAACGGUAUUGUCAGAUAUUGUUAUGUUAUUACCGUCACAUCUAAGGUUAAUCUAGUCAUAUUAGUCACAUUGUACAACAUACAAGGUUUUGAGAUGAACUAAAUUCUUAUUAAUACAUGGACACGAUGAACAGAAUAUUUCAUGAAAUCCUGAUUUUAUACAAACCUGGCACUGUUGGGAGCAAUACCAAAUGCUCUGACAUGUUGAACAGAGGUAUAAACUAAACUUUCCACACAUUAUGCAGUUACCAAAAAUAUGUUGCGCCUUGGAACCUGCUUCCUGUUGCGGCAUACCGCUGCCUUGGACUACUUGAGAAUUGGGUAUCAUGCCUUGGGCCUUGACAUUCAACAUGUCUGGACUGCAGUUUUCCUGCUGUUGCUGAAUUGUUUGUUGUAAUUUUGCCUGGUGAACCUUAAAAGAUAAACCAAACAGAAAAUCUUGUAACAUCUUAAUGUUUGUAACACAGUAUAGGAAUGCUAUAUAGUUGUAAACUGUAUGUAGUAUCGAUGAAAAGGAUGGAAAUUAACAAGAAGAUGUAAAUUUGUGGAAUAUUCACUAUGGUUAGACUUUAAUUACUGUUUGUUCCGAAGAAUAUAAGACUAAAUGUAUUUAAUUAUUUAACUGAAGGGCAUGUUGUAUAUUUGUAUGUUAUGGUUUAUUCAAUUAAUGAAGUUUUCGUGAAAAGUAUGUAUUGAAGACAAACGACAUGACAGGUAGUUUCUGAAAGUUAUGUACAAUUAUCUAUCUGGUUGGUAACUAGAUAAAGGUAAAAUAACAACAAUAAAUAAAAAGAUCAGUGCAUACGA